UUAGAUUCAGUGAAAAAGAGAGUAGAUAUGGAGAAAAUCUCAGCGAAUUGGGGAUGGUGUGAGCCUAAUGAUAACACUUUAUAUUGAAAAGAACUUUGGAGAAUACUACUUGAAAUUCAGUAUGGUAGUAGGUAAUCUCGCCUUAAGAGAAUAGAGUGGGUAAACAUUGUUUGCCAACUAGAGUGGUAACACGGAAUAUUUCGUCUCUUGG
This 211-nucleotide non-coding RNA is filed under the name Clostridioides difficile T5. RNAcentral describes it as "T-box". It matches the Rfam family "T-box leader". Rfam says of the family: Uncharged tRNA acts as the effector for transcription antitermination of genes in the T-box leader family. Lineage: Bacteria; Bacillati; Bacillota; Clostridia; Peptostreptococcales; Peptostreptococcaceae. RNAcentral also lists the same sequence under 3 other names. The record is from RNAcentral.